This 275-nucleotide ribosomal RNA is filed under the name uncultured bacterium. RNAcentral describes it as "partial 16S ribosomal RNA". It matches the Rfam family "Bacterial small subunit ribosomal RNA", at positions 523 to 796 of the family's 1533-position model. The record is from RNAcentral.
AUACGGAGGGAGCAAGCGUUGUUCGGAAUUACGGGGCGUAAAGGGCGCGUAGGCCGCCUUGUAAGUCGAGUGUGAAAGGCCGGGGCUCAACUCCGUGCACUGCAUUCGAUACUGCUUGGCUAGAGAGAGGUAGAGGCGAGCGGAAUUCCCGGUGUAGCGGUGGAAUGCGUAGAUAUCGGGAAGAACAUCUGCGGCGAAGGCGGCUCGCUGGGCCUCAUCUGACGCUGAAGCGCGAAAGCGUGGGGAGCAAACAGGAUUAGAAACCCCAGUAGUCC